This 251-nucleotide unclassified non-coding RNA is filed under the name Hevea brasiliensis (rubber tree). The record is from RNAcentral. Lineage: Eukaryota; Viridiplantae; Streptophyta; Magnoliopsida; Malpighiales; Euphorbiaceae.
UCUCAGCUCUCCAUUUUCACCCCUACAAAGACCACAAGAAAACGGAUUAUGAGUAUUAUAUGACCAAAUGGUUGAAACCCCUAGCGACAUUUAUACAACAAACGAAGUUGGACUCUUUUCUUCAAUAAUUUGCUUCAUAAGUCAUAUCCUCAGGAAUAUUUUUCUAUGUUUUUUCAUUUGGUACAACAAGAAUUUUUCUUAGUCCUUCCAGCACUGCUGCAUUUUUUUGGGAUUUUUCUUGAUGCUGCAAG